UAACAGUGUAUUACUGAACAAACAGUCACUUUUAUUCGAAAUAUUAGAUAUUAACGCCAUUAUUAAUAACAAUUAUUAACUUUUUUCAAAUUAAACUGACACUUUUAUCCUGACAGAAAAUUCACUUCUAGCUGUCAGUCAGAACUGGCUUAUAAAUUCCGCACGCGCUGUAUAGCUGGAAUAACGGUCACAAAUUGAGCUAAGCUAACUAACAUUUCGCCUUUUAUUUAUUCAUAUUCAUUUAAACUGAGCUGGUUUCUCUCACCCCCGAGGCAGCGGAGGCGGCUUGCUAGCCUCUCCGUCUCUGUCCCUGUCCAGCGCCAGAGGCUCCCGGCGGUCAAACUGCGAGCGAACGGUCUCCGCCAUGUUUACGCGCAGAGAUCUGGAUCGACUCCGCUGCUUUGCGGAGCUCUUCUCACACACUAGCGCUCGCGCCUAUACUGUGCGUACCGGUUGUUUCAGUCGCUACCACUUCCUUGCAGCCGCGGGGGUGAAACCCGUCCUCGUUCUUACAGUAAACAUAUUAAAAAAAUAGAACCACAGUACAAAAAUCCUACAAAUAGACUUAUAAAUGACAAAUAAAAUAAAAUGUAUAGUGCCGUUCUUUGUUUUAACUUUUAGAAAAGAUGUUUUGAGUUAUAAAACCUCGAGCGUGCACCCCUGACUGUAAUGGAUGAAUGAUCGCUCCCGCGGUAGUACAGGAGGGAGGGAGAGCUGGCUGUGUCUGAAACCUCACACUACCGCACUAUAUAGUACGCUACCUACGGUAACUAUGGUAACCUAUUCUGGAGAAUUAAUUUAAAAUACUAUGUAGAGCAGUAGUUUUCGGUUUGAAACGUGGCCGUCGUCUUUGUUUCCAAGCAAAGUUGAUUAUGGUCUAUUAGCAAAAUGUACACCCAAUAGGCUUUUGAAAGUGGUGUGACGUAAUGUUAAAUUGAUAUUAAUAAUGAUCUAUCUAUCUAUCUAUCUAUCUAUCUAUCUAUCUAUCUAUCUAUAAUGACGGUCAUGAUGAUGAUGAUCAUGGUGAUGAUGGUGUUGGUGGUGGUGUUGGUGAUGAUGAUGAUGACGAUGAUGGUGUUGAUGGUGGUGCUGGUGGGGGUGAUGACGAUGACGAUGAUGGUGUUGAUGGUGGUGCUGGUGGGGGUGAUGACGAUGACGAUGAUGGUGUUGAUGGUGGUGCUGGUAGGGGUGAUGACGAUGACGAUGAUGGUGUUGAUGGUGAUGACGAUGAUGACGAUGAUGGUGUUGAUGGUUGUGCUGGUAGGGGUGAUGACGAUGAUGGUGUUGAUGGUGGUGCUGGUAGGGGUGAUGACGAUGAUGGUGUUGAUGGUGGUGCUGGUGGGGGUGAUGACGAUGACGAUGAUGGUGUUGAUGGUGGUGCUGGUGGGGGUGAUGACGAUGACGAUGAUGGUGUUGAUGGUGGUGCCGGUGGGGGUGAUGACGAUGAUGGUGUUGAUGGUGGUGCUGGUGGGGGUGAUGACGAUGACGAUGAUGGUGUUGAUGGUGGUGCUGGUGGGGGUGAUGACGAUGACGAUGAUGGUGUUGAUAGUGGUGCUGGUAGGGGUGAUGACGAUGACGAUGAUGGUGUUGAUGGUGAUGACGAUGAUGACAAUGAUGGUGUUGAUGGUGGUGCUGGUAGGGGUGAUGACGAUGAUGGUGUUGAUGGUGGUGCUGGUGGGGGUGAUGACGAUGACGAUGAUGGUGUUGAUGGUGGUGCUGGUGGGGGUGAUGACGAUGACGAUGAUGGUGUUGAUAGUGGUGCUGGUAGGGGUGAUGACGAUGACGAUGAUGGUGUUGAUGGUGAUGACGAUGAUGACAAUGAUGGUGUUGAUGGUGGUGCUGGUAGGGGUGAUGACGAUGACGAUGAUGGUGUUGAUGGUGAUGAUGAUGAUGAUAGUGGUGGUGGUGGUAAUAGUGGUGAUGAUGAUGAUGGUGGUGGUUAUGGUGGUGCUGGCGGGGUUGAUGAUGAUGAGAAUAUCAGUAGUAGUGGUGCUGAUAAGUAGGUGGUGACAAUUGGUGAUGGUGAUGAUGGUGGUGGUGGUGGUGGUGGUGCUGGUGGAGGUGAUGAUGAUGAUGGUGGUGGUUGUGGAGAUGAUGAUGGUGGUGAUGGUGGUGGUGGUGGUAUCUUAAAAAAAACAGCUAAAGACCCUACCUCUUCUGUGAACACCUAACUAACCCCUAAUAAAUAAGUAAAUAAAUAAAUAAAAUAAAAUAAAAACCUUACUCUGGCACUUACACCUCUACUCUGCACACUUUGCUUCUUCUAGAACUCAAUUAAUACAUCUUGUAUGGUAGCACUACUUGUAUUGUUCUCUGCUUGAUAUAUCGCUUUGCUUGUAUUUUCUCAUUUGUAAGUCGCUUUGGAUAAAAGCGUCUGCUGAAUGAAUAAAUAUGGUGGUGAUGAUAGUGGUCUUGAAGUUGAUAAUGAUGGUGGUGGUUUGUCGGUGUUCAUAGAGCUUAUGAUUAUGAUAGAGUCUUUAUUUUUCACAUGCACAGUAUCUUUUAUUCGCAUACCUCACCAUGUCAGGAAGUUGAGGUCAGAGUGCAGGGUCAGCCAUGAUACAGUGCCCCUGGAGCAGAGAGGGUUAAGGGCCCAACAGGGGCAUUUUGGCAGUGCUGGGGCUUGAACCCCCGACCUUCUGAUCAGUAACCCAGAGCCUUAACCACCAAGCCACCACUGCCCCCGAUGAUGAUGAUGAUGAUGAUGAUAAUGAAGAUGGUGGUGAAGAUAAGUUGGUGGAAACAAUGAUAAUGAUGGUUGAUGAAGGUGAUGGUUUUGUUAACAGUGGAAAAUGGAGUGAUGCUGACAGUAAGGCUGAUGAUGAUAAUGAAGAUGGAGAGUUAGAGAAUAAUGGUUCUGGUGUUUUUUGGUGGAUGCUGAAGCUUUUAUAAUGAUGACGGUGAUGAUGAUGGUGAUGAUGAUGGUGGUGGUGAUAAAGUUCAUGGUAUUGUUAGUAAUAAUGAUUAUGUUCAUGAGGAUGAUGAGGAUAAAGUUGAUGAUGAUUAAGUUCAUGGUAUUGUUUGGGAUGAUGAUGAUGAUGAUUAUGAUCAUAGUUUUGAUGAUGAUGGAGAUGACAGUGAUGAUGGUUAUGAUGAUGAUGAUGAUGAUGAUAGUGGUGAUUAUGAGAUGGCAAAGAUGAUGGUGGUGGUGAUGAUGAUGAUGAUGAUGAUAGUGCUGGUGGAGCUCAUGAUGAUGAUAACCAUGAUGAUGACAAUGAUUAUGGUCAAGAUGGCUUUGUUGAUUAUAAUUAUAAUGAUAAUGACAAUGGUGAUGUUAGUGGUGUUCAUGGUAUUGUUGGUAGAUGCUGAGAAUAACUUUUAUAAUGAUGAUAAAGUUUGUUGUAUUGUUGGUGAUGAUGAUGAUUAUAAUAAUGAUGUUCAUGAACUGAUGAUGAUGGUGGAAAUGAUGAUGAUUAUGAUGAUGAUGAUGAUAGUAGUGGUAAUGAUGAUGGUGAUGAUGAAGAUAGUAGUGGUAAUGAUAAUGAUGGUGAUGAUGAUGGUGGUAAUGAUGAUGAUGGUGAUGAUGAUGAUGAUGAUGGUGAUGAUGAUGAUGAUGGUGAUAGUGGUGGUAAUGACGAUGAAGAUAAUGAUCAUGAUGGUGAUAGUGGUGGUAAUGAUGAUGGUGAUGAUGAUGAUGAUGAUGAUGAUGGUGAUGAUGAUGAUGAUGGUGAUGAUGAUGAUGGUGAUGGUGGUAAUAAUGAUGAUGGUGAUGAUGAUGAUGAUGAUGGUGAUAGCGGUGGUAAUGAUGAUGAUGGUGAUGAUGAUGAUGAUGGUAAUGAUGAUGAUGGUGAUGAUGAUGAUGAUGGUGAUAGUGGUGGUAAUGAUGAUGAUGGUGAUGAUGAUGACAAUGAUGAUGAUAGUGGUGGUAAUGAUGAUAAUGAUGAUGAUGAAGAUGGUGAUAGCGGUGGUAAUGAUGAUGAUGGUGAUGAUGAUGAUGAUGAUGGUGAUAGUGGUGGUAAUGAUGAUGAUGAUGAUGAUAGUGGUGGUAAUGAUGAUGAUGAUGAUGAUGUGAUGAUGGUGAUGGUGAUAAUAAUGAUGGUGAUAGUGGUGGUAAUGAUGAUGAUGAUGAUGAUAGUGGUGGUAAUGAUGAUGAUGAUGAUGGUGAUAGUGGUGGUAAUGAUAAUGAUGAUGAUGAUGAUGAUGAUGAUAGUGGUGGUAUGAUAAUGAUGAUGAUGGUGAUGAUGAUGAUGAUGAUGAUGAUGAUGGUGAUGAUGAUGGUGAUAGUGGUGGUAAUGAUGAUGAUGAUGAUGGUGAUAGUGGUGGUAAUGAUGAUGAUGAUGGUGGUGAUAGUGGUGAUGAUGAUGAUGAUGAUGAGAUGAUUAUGAUGAUGGUGAUAAUGGUAAUGAUGAUGAUGAUGAUGAUGAUGAUGAUGAUGAUAAUGGUGGUAAUGAUGAUGAUGAUGAUGAUGGUGAU
This is a long non-coding RNA of Ictalurus punctatus (channel catfish), 4413 nucleotides long. The record is from Ensembl. Lineage: Eukaryota; Metazoa; Chordata; Actinopteri; Siluriformes; Ictaluridae.